AUAUAACAUAAGCUAUAUCUAUUCUCUAUGCAAAAAAAUGAGCAUUUUGCAGUUGUUCUUGAAUUGCAGAUGCUUAUCUAACAUGUGAUUAAAGUGCUAUUGUGCCUUGCCUGUCAGAGCAAUUUAUUGUGAAAUCAUGAGCACAUUACUGGAAAUUCAUAGAAUUCUUUGGCCAUACCUGAGAUGACCGGUCGGUUCAUGAAAUCUUGCCUCAUCUUACUGCAACUGCAUACAUCCUAGACAGCAGUAGAUGCUUAGAGAGUUGUCACUAAGUGGUGACCUUUUUGCUUGCUUUAGAAUGGGACAUGCUGGUUUCAUCUCUUCACUCAGGGCCAUAAUCUUUCUUCCAUGCACGACUUCGGCAAUAGCUCCACUCUCUGAAUUCGUGCGAAAGACUUUUAAGUGUUACUAGCUAUGUACUUAUAAAGAUCUUUAGGUGUUCGAU
Molecule: long non-coding RNA, 445 nt
Organism: Syzygium oleosum
Lineage: Eukaryota; Viridiplantae; Streptophyta; Magnoliopsida; Myrtales; Myrtaceae
Exons: 2
Source: RefSeq, a predicted model, not a curated record